Molecule: ribosomal RNA, 671 nt
Filed under: uncultured Lachnospiraceae bacterium
Lineage: Bacteria; Bacillati; Bacillota; Clostridia; Lachnospirales; Lachnospiraceae
Description: bacterial SSU rRNA
Rfam family: Bacterial small subunit ribosomal RNA
Source: RNAcentral
UAACACAUGCAAGUCGAACGAAGCACUUUCUUUAGAUUCUUCGGAUGAAGAAGACUGUGACUGAGUGGCGGACGGGUGAGUAACGCGUGGGCAACCUGCCCUGUACAGGGGGAUAACAGUUAGAAAUGACUGCUAAUACCGCAUAAGCGCACGAGGACGCAUGUUCUUGUGUGAAAAACUCCGGUGGUACAGGAUGGGCCCGCGCCUGAUUAGGUAGUUGGUGGGGCAGCGGCCUACCAAGCCGACGAUCAGUAGCCGACCUGAGAGGGUGACCGGCCACAUUGGGACUGAGACACGGCCCAAACUCCUACGGGAGGCAGCAGUGGGGAAUAUUGCACAAUGGGGGAAACCCUGAUGCAGCGACGCCGCGUGAAGGAAGAAGUAUUUCGGUAUGUAAACUUCUAUCAGCAGGGAAGAAACUGACGGUACCUGACUAAGAAGCACCGGCUAAAUACGUGCCAGCAGCCGCGGUAAUACGUAUGGUGCAAGCGUUAUCCGGAUUUACUGGGUGUAAAGGGAGCGUAGACGGAGAGGCAAGUCUGAAGUGAAAGCCCGGGGCUCAACCCCGGGACUGCUUUGGAAACUGCAGUUCUAGAGUGCCGGAGAGGUAAGCGGAAUUCCUAGUGUAGCGGUGAAAUGCGUAGAUAUUAGGAGGAACACCAGUGGCGAAG